UUUCCUCCCAUUUCUGGAUGGUAUCUAUUCGGUGGAUAUUUUUAUAGGUACAAUCUCCAUGCUCAUUCUCGACAUUUCUCUUCUUAUUAUUAACACCAUUACUCUGACCAUGGCAACAUACACUAACCUUUGGACUCAACAGGUUGAUGUGUUCUAAAAUCCAAGACUUCAUGCAAAAAUAAAGUAAUCGAAGCUUUGCAAGAAUUGAAUGAAAAGGGUCACUUGAAACCCUCUUAAAAUUUGACCAGAGGAAUGGGAAUCAAGAAAUGACUGGAAUCUGCGACCCUGGCGGCGUCUGUUGGGCCUUUUUCAAGUUUCUCCCUUUCAGGUUAACGUUUUUCUAAAAACUAACAAAUACGAGUGGCUGCAAG
Molecule: unclassified non-coding RNA, 371 nt
Filed under: Hevea brasiliensis (rubber tree)
Lineage: Eukaryota; Viridiplantae; Streptophyta; Magnoliopsida; Malpighiales; Euphorbiaceae
Source: RNAcentral